Molecule: ribosomal RNA, 494 nt
Filed under: uncultured bacterium
Lineage: Bacteria
Description: partial 16S ribosomal RNA
Rfam family: Bacterial small subunit ribosomal RNA
Source: RNAcentral
GAUGAACGCUGGCGGCGCGCUUAACACAUGCAAGUCGAACGGAAAGGCCUGCUUUCCCUUGUGGUUUCCGGGUCCUCGGGUGGCGAACGGGUGAGUAACACGCGUGUGUUCUGCCCCCAACUUGCGUAUAAGCCCGGGAAACUGGGCCUAAUACCCUUUAGAACUGCAUGGUUGUGUCUGUGGAGGUAGACGAGCUUCUAGUGGUAGGGGGUGAGCCGCCGUCCUAUCAGCUUGUUGGGGGGGCAAAGUCCUACCACGGCGAGGACGGGAAGCCGGCCGGGGAGGGUGGACAGCCGCAUUGGGACUGGGAUCAGGCCCAGACGCCUACGGGAGGCAGGAGUGGGGACUAAUGGACAAUGAGCGGAAGCGUGAUGCAGCGAGGGAGCGUGGGGGAUGACGGCAUCCGGGUUGUAAGCUCCUUGCGACCGCGAGGAAGGCACCUGGUUGGACGGGUGGUGACGGUAGUGGUAGAAGAAGCACCGGCUAACUACGUG